RNAcentral lists this ribosomal RNA (378 nucleotides) under Firmicutes bacterium BCOT-3. RNAcentral's name for it is "bacterial SSU rRNA". It matches the Rfam family "Bacterial small subunit ribosomal RNA", at positions 537 to 916 of the family's 1533-position model. Lineage: Bacteria; Bacillati; Bacillota. The record is from RNAcentral.
GGAAMYGUWUCGGAUUAUUGGGCGUAAGCGCGCGCAGGUGGUUUCUUAAGUCUGAUGUGAAAGCCCACGGCUAAAGAGGGGGGUCAUUGGAAACUGGGAGACUUGAGUGCAGAAGAGGAAAGUGGAAUUCCAUGUGUAGCGGUGAAAUGCGUAGAGAUAUGGAGGAACACCAGUGGCGAAGGCGACUUUCUGGUCUGUAACUGACACUGAGGCGCGAAAGCGUGGGGAGCAAACAGGAUUAGAUACCCUGGUAGUCCACGCCGUAAACGAUGAGUGCUAAGUGUUAGAGGGUUUCCGCCCUUUAGUGCUGAAGUUAACGCAUUAAGCACUCCGCCUGGGGAGUACGGCCGCAAGGCUGAAACUCAAAGGAAUUGACGG